ACCAGGAUGGCCGAGUGGUUAAGGCGUUGGACUUAAGUUCCAAUGUACGGAUGUAAGCGUGGGUUCAACCCCACUCCUGGUA
RNAcentral lists this transfer RNA (82 nucleotides) under Nematostella vectensis (starlet sea anemone). It matches the Rfam family "tRNA". Rfam says of the family: Transfer RNA (tRNA) molecules are approximately 80 nucleotides in length. Their secondary structure includes four short double-helical elements and three loops (D, anti-codon, and T loops). Further hydrogen bonds mediate the characteristic L-shaped molecular structure. tRNAs have two regions of fundamental functional importance: the anti-codon, which is responsible for specific mRNA codon recognition, and the 3' end, to which the tRNAs corresponding amino acid is attached (by aminoacyl-tRNA synthetases). tRNAs cope with the degeneracy of the genetic code in two manners: having more than one tRNA (with a specific anti-codon) for a particular amino acid; and 'wobble' base-pairing, i.e. permitting non-standard base-pairing at the 3rd anti-codon position. The record is from Rfam by way of RNAcentral. Lineage: Eukaryota; Metazoa; Cnidaria; Anthozoa; Actiniaria; Edwardsiidae.